UACGUAGGGUGCGAGCGUUGUCCGGAAUUAUUGGGCGUAAAGAGCUCGUAGGCGGCUUGUCGCGUCGGAUGUGAAAGCCCGGGGCUUAACUCCGGGUCUGCAUUCGAUACGGGCAGGCUAGAGUUCGGUAGGGGAGAUCGGAAUUCCUGGUGUAGCGGUGAAAUGCGCAGAUAUCAGGAGGAACACCGGUGGCGAAGGCGGAUCUCUGGGCCGAUACUGACGCUGAGAAGCGAAAGCAUGGGGAGCGAACAGG
RNAcentral lists this ribosomal RNA (253 nucleotides) under uncultured bacterium. RNAcentral's name for it is "partial 16S ribosomal RNA". It matches the Rfam family "Bacterial small subunit ribosomal RNA", at positions 524 to 776 of the family's 1533-position model. The record is from RNAcentral.